GGGGGGCAGGGGUCCCUCUGCCUCCCAGCCCCUUGACUCAGCAAUAAACUACUGAUAACAGGAAAGCCUGGAUUUUAGUUUAAAUCCUGCCCCUGAUUGAACCCGGGUAAGUCUAGACACAUCUCUUUUCAUACUUUGGGCUCGUUUAGAGCCUGCCGUGCUCACGGCCUGCUCCGUGGACUUCUUUCUUUCUGUCCCCGUGCUGAGCCUGGUAUACCAGAUGCUCAAAGGAAGCUCUGGAAUUAGUUGUGGCUAAGUCUGCCGUGAUGAUAAGGCAUUCCCGAAAUUGCUCUCAGACGCCAGCGAUCCGUCUUUCACUGUUGGAUCAGUUGUUUGCUGGUGGCUUGGGGUGGUCCAGUUACAGGUGUGUUUAUCGGGGUUCAUGGAGACGCCGGGCGUCUCGGGUGGCUGAUGUGUGUCUCUCCUUCAGAGUCUGGGUUUCUCCCAAGAAGUCGGGGAAUCUCCUGCGAUAACGGGACUUACAGAAGUUCCUGUCAUGGCUCGUUGGAAAUGAACCUGACAAGUACCCAUGUGGACGCGCUUUCCAUCUCUGGCCUCCCUCAGUGGGUUAAGGAUCCGGCGUUGCCAUGAGCUGUGGUGUAGGUUGAAGACGUGGCUGGGAUCCUGCGUGGCUGUGGCUGUGAUGUAGGCCAGCAGCUGUAGGUCCGAUUCAGCCCCCAGCCUGGGGAAUUUCCAUAUGCCGUGGGUGCGGUGCUAAAAAGCAAAAUAAUAGUAAUAAUGACGAUGAUGGGACUUCCUAAGAAGAAACAGAGGGCAUCUGGCCGGGGGAGGGGGUGGGCACCACCAGAGCAGGCUUCUUUUGUGGUUGCAGGUGUGGGGUGGGCCCCCAUACCCAGUGACAUAGGCAUCUCUUGGGGGGAGGUGUAAUUCUAUUUUUAGUGCAUUUAAAAUAUUUCCUUUAUCUUUGAAGAUAACAGGCAUAUGUGCUCCAUGUAAGCAAAUUAUAGAAAAUAAGGAAAACUUAGAAAAACAAAACCCACCUCCAGUUUCACUUUAGAGAACAGCUGUUAACAUGUGUUAACAUUUAUGGGGUUUUGAUGCUCUCCUUUCUGUCAUGUUCCUUUCUGGUGGCUUUAAAAUUCGGGUAAACACUAUCUAAGAGUCUGCGGGGCAUUCCCAUCGUGGCGCAGUGGAACUGAAUCCGACUAGGAACCAUGAGGUUGCGGGUUCCAUCCCUGCCCUUGCUGAGCAGGUUAAGGAUCCGGCGUUGCCGUGAGCUGUGGUGUAGGUCACAGAUGCUGCUCAGAUCUGGCAUUGCUGUGGCUGCGGUGUAGGUCAGUAGCUGUAGCUCCAAUUCGACCCCUAGCCUGGGAACCUCCAUGUGCCACGGGUGCAGCCCUAAGAAAAAGAAAAAAAAAGGACUUUGCAGUUUGCACAAGAUUCAGGAACCCCUGUGCCACAUGGGAAACUGGGGCACACCGGCUAGCAUCCUGAGGCUGGGAAGCUUCGUGUGGCCUCGAGUUCAGAGUUCAGCCUUCUGUCCGCGAUCCCGUGGGAAAGCCGGAUCUCUCUGGGAGCCAGCGAUGGAGCGGCUCUGAGUCUCACCGAGGCCGAGCUCCCGCCUCGAGCCCCAGCACCUCCUCUCCUCCUGAAGCAGAAGCGCAGAACUCCAUCCCUUGCAAAACUCAGGGCGUGAGCGCGACAUCGCGGGGGUCAGCAAGGCGGGUCUGACUGUCCAGUGGGCACCUCCUCCUGGACCCGUGGCUCAGGAGCAGACCCAGUGGAGGGGACUCCGGGCUGCAUCCCGGUGCGCUGGGCAUCCGCUGCGUGGCCUCCUGACAGCAGGGCCCCCCCGCCCCAGAGCCCAGCUCUGCUUCCUUCCUUCCCCGUCUCCUGUGCCCACUCGCUUUGAAUCCCUGCAGGACAGGACCCUGCCCUGCGGGGUCCCCUCUGCUCUGCGCCCCCCACAUCAGCCGGCCGUGCUGAGCCUCCGUCCACCGGACAGCUCAGGGGAUGGACCCACAAGCCCUGUCUGCUGAGGGCGCUGGGCGUGCCUGGGUGGUAACAGGACACGACGCNNNNNNNNNNNACGACGCUGCGCGGUGGAGGCCACGCUCCCAGACGACCCGCUCUCCCAGAGGACUGGGGGCAUUCCCAGGCUUUGCAGGGAGAACCUGGCCGGCUGCCGGAGGUGACAGGGUGACGCCCGCACAGCUGCCAGGUGAGAGCCCUGUUUCUGCCCCAGACUGCGUUCAUCAAGGUCGCUCUGCGUUUCUGUCAUGGUUUUUCCUCUUUGCCACACCUGCCCCCUGAACUGACCAUGUUGCUGGAGGCACAGGCGGAGGAGCAGAAGGAGCCCCCCCCAUCUGCCACCAGCUUCGCACGUGGAGCUGUGCCAGCUGUCCUCCGCCAACCCCUCCAGCCUCAUCCCAGGAACACUUGCCCUUGAGACUCAGCUUCCUCAUCCAGAAUGUGGGUGUGUGCUCUGUCCGGCCCAGUGGGCAAAUGUCAGAAUAAAGUGGGGUGACUUUUCCCAUAAAGCCCCGUGGGAAGCAGGCUGCCGUCCUGUUGGUUUCUGAGGGCUUUGCGAUUCCUUCUUACAUAUGCCCUUCAGCGGAGAGUCUUGCAAAUGUUCACUGCUUAGUUUUGCGAAUGGAACCAAACCAAACCCUGAAGAACCUGGACUGGUCUUUGGGAAAGACCCUCCCCGCAAGAGGUGGCAGCCGUUUCCCGAUUUGUCUUUCCACAGAAGCGUGUGUGUGUGUGUGUGUGUGUGUGUGUGUGUGUGUGUGUGUGUGUCUGGUUUGAUACAUAAACAUUUUGGCAUGAGCUUGGCUGUUUUCUUAUGGACUGAACACACAGUGUCAUCCAUAGAACUGUAUUUGGAACGGCAGUCUUGGCGAUGCUGUUGUAUUACCGAGGCUGUAUUUAGUCACUUUGGGGCGGGUCCGAGGUCUGGCAGGAGGUGCGUCGCUCUUGCGUGUAGCCUUCCUCUGAAAGGUUGCCAAUUAGGGUGACCAUCUUUCUGUGAUGUGAGCGUUUUCUUCACAUGAAACAGACUUGAGAGUCAGAGUUAUUUCACAUGUUGAUGUGCUUACAGCUCCCGCCCGAACGCUCAAAACCAACUUAAUUCCACUUAGUCUCCUUACAAAAAAUAAGAAUAGUCAAUCCCACGAGAAAUAUGCAGAUCGGUUUCUUGCGUAUUCCCCCUCUCAAGUCUGAUGCGUCCUGUGAUCAAAAACAAGCUAGAAAAUGGAGUGCCCGUUGUGGUGCAGAGGGUUCAGCGUCCUGGCACAGUGGGUUAAGGUAUCUGGUGUUGCCGAAGCUGUGGUGUUGGUCCCGGUGAAGCUUGGAUUCAGUCUCUGGCCCAGGAACUUCCAUAUGCUGCGGGUGUGGCAUUAAUGCUAACAAAACCAACCGACCAACCAAACCAACCCAAACCAGAAUGGACUGUGCGCAGGCCAGUGGUUCUGUGAAGCCACAUGCCACAGGCGGGUUCAGAGGUUUGUCCUGUGCUGCAGCGUUUGCAACUGGCCCCCAGGAUGGUGUGAGUUUCUCUGAGCUUGUCCACAGCCAGCUUUAAAGACAUUAUUCUGGAAAAGCUGUCACGUGUGUGUGUCUUGAUCUCUGUGUCUGAGUCUGUCUCUGUCUCUGGCCCUAAAUCCAGCUGUGCUGAUUAUGGAACAGGCCAGGCGAGGCUGUGGUCUGAUUGAAGCGAAAGAUAAGUUUGUGUGGCAGAUUAUUUAUUUUACAAAAGAAUUAUUCUAGUCAAAGGAGUUCAGCAAGAACGUCUCAGAACAGUAAACUCUCUUAGGGCUUUUAAAAUCCGAUUAGCCUGCCCAAGGCUUGGUUUUAACGCGCUUGCGCAGGAAACGGUGACCACGUGUAUUUCUAUGUCGGGCGAUUUCGUUCCUGCUGGUCGGCAUCUUCGCCUCCGCUCUCUCGUUUGCCAGUGGACCGCCAGGACCCCCUUCACGCCCCCUCUGGGGGUGAUGCUCACUCUCUCUCCCUCCGGCCUCUCCUUUAUUCUCUGCUGAAACCUUGGGGGACUCCUCAGUCACCAGACACGCCCGCGCUCCCCUGGCCCCUGGCCGUCGCCUCAGCCCAGCCCUUCUCGGAGCCUCAGAAUCGGCGGCCACGGACCCGCUCACUGCGCUUGCUUCAUUUCAUGGUGAUUGAAGUUCAAGCCCAGCCAUCGAGCAAAACCUCGGAGGCCCUGGUGCCGUUUGAAACGGGCCUCCCUCGUGUGACCUGGUUUAUUCUGCGCUGAGGGUCUGGGGGAGCAGAGGUCCUGUCGGCUUCCUUUCUGGAGUGCCCGCCACUGUCCAGAGUGACCAGUGCUCCCUAAGUGAUGAAAGCAGGAGCAUGUUUAUCCUUGUCAUCCGUCCGUGGGGCUCCUACUGCGGCGCAGCCGCCACUCUGGAUGGUAUCUCCAGGAAGCCAAAUCCUAAGAAAACAAAGCUGGAGGCACAGACUUAGAGUGGGACGUUUUCUUCCAGCUGAAGCCCUGAGUGUCUCCCCUGGUAGGUGGUGGAAACGUGUAAUUUGCCCUUCAGAAGAGGCCCGGAGGCGCUUGAACGGUGUCACGUGUCGCUCAUCCAUUCGCAGUGAAACGACGGUAACAGUGUUGGGCCACAAAACACAUGAGCUGUGCUCCGCUGUCCGUCUCCCAGACGUUUGCUGGGUCCCUGCUCCUCGGGCCUCGAGCUUGGCGGGGAUUACAGGCCCGAAGGAGCAGGGCUGGGCUCUGAGCUCGUGCCUUUCUUUGUGGGAGGGUUUUGUCCACCUGCAGCUUGUCUAGUAACUAACUCUGAGCGUCCACUUCCUUAAGGGAGGGUUCCUUCUUGGGAAGGUUCUUCCUCCUGUCCUCCUGUCCUCUUUCUUCCAAUCCACCCGUCAGUGCACGUGGAACAUUCCACAAAACACAGUGAGGAUGUGGUACGAAGACAGAUGGAAGUUUGUUUCUGGCCCAGAGGGGAGGGUGUGAGCUGGUGGCUUAAAGGACCCGAGUCCCGCAGGAGCCCUGACGCCACACCUGGGGGGGACGUGCUGCCUGGGGGACAAGGCCGGCGGCCUCUGCACGGGACAUCGUGGGCGUCCCUAUUCCUCUCUUUUGAUGAUUUCUGUGCUAGUCAAACAAAGAUGUACAGAACCACAGGGCAUGUAAAAGUCCCUUUAAGACCACGCUUCCCCGUCCCUCGGCUGAGGCAGGAUAGAAGGACCAAGUUCAAUUGUGGUUUGUACAGAAAUGUGUCCUUAGGGCAUCCACGAACUUGUCCUUGUGGGAAUGCAGUCGCUGAUGUGUAAAAUUCUUAAUUCCAAAAAAAAAAAA
Molecule: long non-coding RNA, 5293 nt
Filed under: Sus scrofa (pig)
Lineage: Eukaryota; Metazoa; Chordata; Mammalia; Artiodactyla; Suidae
Description: lncRNA (ENSSSCG00005023835.1)
Source: RNAcentral